AGCAAACGCUGGCGGCGUGCCUAAUACAUGCAAGUCGAACGAGGAAGUUCCUUCGGGAAUUGUACGAGUGGCGCACGGGUGAGUAACACGUGGGUAAUCUGCCUUCGAGAGGGGAAUAACCAGUCGAAAGAUUGGCUAAUACCGCAUAAGACCACAAGUUCUACGGAACUAGGGGUUAAAGGUUUUUCGCUCGAAGAUGAGCCUGCGUCCCAUUAGCUAGUUGGCGGGGUAAUGGCCCACCAAGGCGACGAUGGGUAGCUGGUCUGAGAGGAUGACCAGUCACACUGGGACUGAGACACGGCCCAGACUCCUACGGGAGGCAGCAGUAGGGAAUAUUGCACAAUGGACGCAAGUCUGAUGCAGCGACGCCGCGUGAGUGAUGAAGGCUUUAGGGCUGUAAAGCUCUGUUCUCAGGGAAUAAAAAAAUGAAGGUACCUGAGGGGAAAGGACCGGCUAACUUCGUGCCAGCCGCCGCCGUAA
Molecule: ribosomal RNA, 480 nt
Filed under: uncultured bacterium
Lineage: Bacteria
Description: partial 16S ribosomal RNA
Rfam family: Bacterial small subunit ribosomal RNA
Source: RNAcentral